AUUGAACGCUGGCGGCAGGCCUAACACAUGCAAGUCGAGCGGCAGCGGGAAAGUAGCUUGCUACUUUUGCCGGCGAGCGGCGGACGGGUGAGUAAUGCCUGGGAAAUUGCCCAGUCGAGGGGGAUAACAGUUGGAAACGACUGCUAAUACCGCAUACGCCCUACGGGGGAAAGCAGGGGACCUUCGGGCCUUGCGCGAUUGGAUAUGCCCAGGUGGGAUUAGCUUGUUGGUGAGGUAAUGGCUCACCAAGGCGACGACGGGUAGCCGGCCUGAGAGGGCGACCGGCCACACUGGGACUGAGACACGGCCCAGACUCCUACGGGAGGCAGCAGUGGGGAAUUUUGGACAAUGGGCGAAAGCCUGAUCCAGCCAUGCCGCGUGAGUGAAGAAGGCCUUCGGUU
RNAcentral lists this ribosomal RNA (401 nucleotides) under uncultured bacterium. RNAcentral's name for it is "bacterial SSU rRNA". It matches the Rfam family "Bacterial small subunit ribosomal RNA", at positions 28 to 423 of the family's 1533-position model. The record is from RNAcentral.